RNAcentral lists this ribosomal RNA (440 nucleotides) under uncultured bacterium. RNAcentral describes it as "partial 16S ribosomal RNA". It matches the Rfam family "Bacterial small subunit ribosomal RNA", at positions 339 to 795 of the family's 1533-position model. The record is from RNAcentral.
CUACGGGUCGCUGCAGUGAGGAAUAUUGCACAAUGGGGGGAACCCUGAUGCAGCAACGCCGCGUGGAGGAUGACGCAUUUCGGUGUGUAAACUCCUUUUAUAUGUCAAGAAAAUGACGGUAGCAUAUGGAUAAGCACCGGCUAACUCCGUGCCAGCAGCCGCGGUAAUACGGAGGGUGGCAAGCGUUACUCGGAAUCACUGGGCGUAAAGGACGCGUAGGCGGGUUGGAAAGUCAGGUGUGAAAUCCUACAGCUUAACUGUAGAACUGCACUUGAAACUUCUAAUCUAGAGUAUGGGAGGGGGAGAUGGAAUUAGUGGUGUAGGGGUAAAAUCCGUAGAUAUCACUAGGAAUACCUAAAGCGAAGGCGAUCUCCUGGAACAUUACUGACGCUAAGGCGUGAAAGCGUGGGGAGCAAACAGGAUUAGAUACCCUCGUAGUC